GGGGUGGAGCAGUCUGGUAGCUCGUCGGGCUCAUAACCCGAAGGUCGUUGGUUCAAAUCCGGCCCCCGCAACCAAUA
RNAcentral lists this transfer RNA (77 nucleotides) under Buchnera aphidicola str. Tuc7 (Acyrthosiphon pisum). RNAcentral describes it as "tRNA-Met". It matches the Rfam family "tRNA". Rfam says of the family: Transfer RNA (tRNA) molecules are approximately 80 nucleotides in length. Their secondary structure includes four short double-helical elements and three loops (D, anti-codon, and T loops). Further hydrogen bonds mediate the characteristic L-shaped molecular structure. tRNAs have two regions of fundamental functional importance: the anti-codon, which is responsible for specific mRNA codon recognition, and the 3' end, to which the tRNAs corresponding amino acid is attached (by aminoacyl-tRNA synthetases). tRNAs cope with the degeneracy of the genetic code in two manners: having more than one tRNA (with a specific anti-codon) for a particular amino acid; and 'wobble' base-pairing, i.e. permitting non-standard base-pairing at the 3rd anti-codon position. The record is from RNAcentral. Lineage: Bacteria; Pseudomonadati; Pseudomonadota; Gammaproteobacteria; Enterobacterales; Erwiniaceae.